Molecule: long non-coding RNA, 2602 nt
Filed under: Daucus carota (carrot)
Lineage: Eukaryota; Viridiplantae; Streptophyta; Magnoliopsida; Apiales; Apiaceae
Description: long non-coding RNA (DCAR_LNC004340)
Source: RNAcentral
UCGAAUACUAGGGAAGGCACUUAAUUAAUAUAAAACUUUAACUUUGCAAACAAGGUUGCCAUUUGUCCACAAGAAUGAACAGAAGAAUUCAAGCAACCAGAUGAAACUGAAAACAUAGGUUCAGCAGGAUGGAUGCCAAAUAAUUUUACCCACAAAUGAAACCGCGCUAAUUUUUGUGAUACUUAAAGCUAUAAAGUUUUCAGUAAUAGUGCUUAUACAUCUUUCGCAGACUUAAUUAGAUAUUUUAUUAUCACAUCAAUAUGCAAGCUUCAGAAUAAAACAGGCUGAUUAUUGUGUCCUACACUAUUUUUUUAUUCUUUUCUUAUUCGUUACAUACUAGUUCUAUCCAAUGUCACAUAGGUCGAGGUUCGACUCGAAACGGGGGACAAUGAAAUGGCUGGUAUGAUGGGUACAACGGCCCGUUUGGGUACGAUGUUUUUUUUGGAAAAAAUAAUAUAUAUAUAUUAUACCUUACUCUGUAAUUAUAUAUGUUUAUUCAGAUAUAUAUAGAGUUUAAUUAAUAAUUUACACAUUUAUUUAUACUUUUUGGAGUUACUUUAAAUAAAGCUAUUUGACUUGUGUAUUAUAAGUUUACUAAUUAUUUUGUGAUUUAUAAGAUGAUUGGGCAUGAAAAAUGAGCUGAUUUGAAAAGCUAGGAAGCACAGGUACCGAAAUUCGUCAAAUUCAAAAAAAUGGGGAUACAGUUCGGGAGGAUACGGCAAUUAUAAAAACUAACAUUCAAAUUAAACCAAAUAANUAUUAGUAUAGUUUUUUACAUUAAUAUGUAAGCAAAAGUUUUGGGAAUUAACUCUAUACAUAUGUGAAAUGUAUGCUUGCAAUAAAUUAUAUAUACACUAGUAAGUUCUGUAUAAUAUUAUAUAUUCAUCUUAUUUUAUUUUUUAACAUUAAAAAAGUGCUCCACAGAAAAGAGACAGCACAUCGUAUGAAGAAGGACAAAGCUAAUGCAAUGGUAGUAUUUUUUUCAGAAUCUGGCCGGCCCACCCCUUUUAUCUUCGAAAUUGGUCAAAUGGGUUUCACUUAAAUAAGCACCCCCCGCCUUGCCACAGGCAGGCAAGGUCAAAUGGGUUACUGGGCCUCGUUAUGCCUCUCGCAUGGGCAAACACAGGGUGUGGCACCCUUUAACGCGAUGAGAUUGAAGUUUGUCAUGAGCACUGGUUAUUUGUUUGGAAUAUGAAAUUUUGGUGUUACCUUUAAGCCUUGGUGAUAUGCUUCAACAGCUGGAAGUGAAAUGGCAGACUUACUGCUUUGCAUCAUGUCCCAAAUCAGAUUCGCAACAGUAAAACCACCAGUCUGCAAAAAAAUAAUCCAUAAUGAUUUCAGUAAUCUAGCCAAACUUUUAUCAUGCCAGGAGUAACGUAUAUUACCUUUUCGCCUGAGGCUAAAAUAAGAAGAUCAUUUCCCAUUUUUGAGCUCAAGAAGAAGUUCCUAGAUGCCAUUUCUUUCUGAAAAUAAGAGGGGAAAAGGAAAUAUCACCCAAGUACUAAAGGAGCAAGCAAUUGCAUCACAUGCAGACAGCCUUUCAUUAAGCACAACAAACUAAAUGUACCAGUUUUUCUUCAGCAAGUUGCAUUCCUUUGGGAGUAUAGCCAACCAUGGCUCCUUCAAUAAAGGUCUGCGGAAAAGUAGUUCAGAAAAAUGAAAGUGUACUUCUACAACUUGUGCACUAAUAAAUCAAAUGAAGCGAAGUUCCCCAAUACACCGAGAGAAAUAAGCCUUAAAGAAAGAUUAUUGUUUUUGUUAAAUAUUUUAAGCGUGCUUUAAGAUAUACUAAUGCAAUGAAAAAAAAAACCUCAAUCUGUUAUAUGUUUCCAGUUACAAAUGAAAAGUGUCACUUUUUUUAUUACUCAAUACCUUGCAGUUUAUAUUCCUGUUAAUGUACUUAAUUGCUUGAAGCCUCUAAACGUUUUUAAUCAGAUAAUGUUCAGCUUUUGACUUCCUGUGAACUUUCAAAUCAUUUAAACAUAGCUUUCCUCAUAUUAAGCUUUUAAAUACCCUCUUCCAAAAUCCAAAUAUUUAAAAAAAUAUUAUGAGUGAAACUUUUCAAUGGUUAGAUUUUACAGAAUUUUCCAUUCUAUCUUUGAAAAAAAAGGAAUUUAAGUUUUAAAAAUAAAAUUCCAAUUCCUGCUCACAACAUUAGCAUACAUCUUGCAAUUAAAAAUUACACCAUCGUCAUCUAUGAUCUAUUAGUGUUCCCAAACAAGGCAAAAUUAAUAUUUUAAGCUUAUUCGUGUCCUAAACAGAUAUGUUUAUUACCAGUAUAUAUAUUCCGUUGUAUGAAAAUCCUUUGAGUUCAUAAAAAUGGCAAAGAAUAGCAGAAAUGAACGGAAAUAUUUUAUAGACAGGAAGGGGAUUCAAAAUCUUACUUCAAGCCAUUUGUCGAAUACUAGGGAAGGCACUUAAUUAAUAUAAAACUUUAACUUUGCAAACAAGGUUGCCAUUUGUCCACAAGAAUGAACAGAAGAAUUCAAGCAACCAGAUGAAACUGAAAACAUAGGUUCAGCAGGAUGGAUGCCAAAUAAUUUUACCCACAAAUGAAACCGCGCUAAUUUUUGUGAUACUUAAAGCUAUAAAGUUUUCAGUA